CCCAGUAGCUCAGUUGGUUAGAGCGGUGGACUGUUAAUCCAUGUGUCGUUGGUUCAACUCG
RNAcentral lists this transfer RNA (61 nucleotides) under Alginatibacterium sediminis. RNAcentral's name for it is "Alteromonadaceae bacterium ALS 81 tRNA-Asn". It matches the Rfam family "tRNA", at positions 7 to 60 of the family's 71-position model. Rfam says of the family: Transfer RNA (tRNA) molecules are approximately 80 nucleotides in length. Their secondary structure includes four short double-helical elements and three loops (D, anti-codon, and T loops). The record is from RNAcentral. Lineage: Bacteria; Pseudomonadati; Pseudomonadota; Gammaproteobacteria; Alteromonadales; Alteromonadaceae.